This 440-nucleotide ribosomal RNA is filed under the name uncultured bacterium. RNAcentral's name for it is "bacterial SSU rRNA". It matches the Rfam family "Bacterial small subunit ribosomal RNA", at positions 340 to 774 of the family's 1533-position model. The record is from RNAcentral.
UACGGGAGGCAGCAGUGGGGAAUAUUGCACAAUGGGCGCAAGCCUGAUGCAGCCAUGCCGCGUGUAUGAAGAAGGCCUUCGGGUUGUAAAGUACUUUCAGUCGUGAGGAAGGUGUUAAGGUUAAUAACCUUAGCAAUUGACGUUAGCGACAGAAGAAGCACCGGCUAACUCCGUGUCAGCAGCCGCGGUAAUACGGAGGGUGCGAGCGUUAAUCGGAAUUACUGGGCGUAAAGGGCACGCAGGCGGUUAAUUAAGUUGGAUGUGAAAUCCCCGGGCUUAACCUGGGAAUGGCAUUCAAGACUGGUUAGCUAGAGUCUUGUAGAGGGGGUAGAAUUCCAUGUGUAGCGGUGAAAUGCGUAGAGAUGUGGAGGAAUACCGGUGGCGAAGGCGGCCCCUGGACAAAGGCUGACGCUCAUGUGCGAAAGCGUGGGGAGCAAACG